RNAcentral lists this ribosomal RNA (403 nucleotides) under uncultured bacterium. RNAcentral's name for it is "bacterial SSU rRNA". It matches the Rfam family "Bacterial small subunit ribosomal RNA", at positions 358 to 773 of the family's 1533-position model. The record is from RNAcentral.
GGAAUAUUGCGCAAUGGGCGAAAGCCUGACGCAGCGACGCCGCGUGAGGGAUGACGGCCUUCGGGUUGUAAACCUCUUUCAGCAGGGACGACACGCAAGUGACGGUACCUGCAGAAGAAGCACCGGCCAACUACGUGCCAGCAGCCGCGGUAAUACGUAGGGUGCAAGCGUUGUCCGGAAUUAUUGGGCGUAAAGAGCUCGUAGGCGGCUUGUCACGUCGACUGUGAAAACCCGGGGCUCAACUCCGGGCCUGCAGUCGAUACGGGCUGGCUUGAGUGCGGUAGGGGAGACUGGAAUUCCUGGUGUAGCGGUGAAAUGCGCAGAUAUCAGGAGGAACACCGGUGGCGAAGGCGGGUCUCUGGGCCGUAACUGACGCUGAGGAGCGAAAGCGUGGGGAGCGAAC